RNAcentral lists this ribosomal RNA (253 nucleotides) under uncultured bacterium. RNAcentral's name for it is "partial 16S ribosomal RNA". It matches the Rfam family "Bacterial small subunit ribosomal RNA", at positions 524 to 776 of the family's 1533-position model. The record is from RNAcentral.
UACGUAGGGGGCAAGCGUUGUCCGGAUUCAUUGGGCGUAAAGAGCGUGUAGGCGGCCAGGUAGGUCGGUUGUGAAAACUGGAGGCUCAACCUUCAGAGGUCGACCGAAACCAUCUGGCUAGAGUCCGGGAGAGGAGAGUGGAAUUCCUGGUGUAGCGGUGAAAUGCGUAGAUAUCAGGAGGAACACCGGUGGCGAAGGCGCACAUCUGGCCCGAUACUGACGCUGAAGCGCGAAAGCUAGGGGAGCGAACGGG